This 1397-nucleotide ribosomal RNA is filed under the name Salmonella enterica subsp. enterica serovar Newport. RNAcentral's name for it is "bacterial LSU rRNA". It matches the Rfam family "Bacterial large subunit ribosomal RNA", at positions 1564 to 2925 of the family's 2925-position model. The record is from RNAcentral. Lineage: Bacteria; Pseudomonadati; Pseudomonadota; Gammaproteobacteria; Enterobacterales; Enterobacteriaceae.
UGAUGACGAGGCACUACGGUGCUGAAGCAACAAAUGCCCUGCUUCCAGGAAAAGCCUCUAAGCAUCAGGUAACAUCAAAUCGUACCCCAAACCGACACAGGUGGUCAGGUAGAGAAUACCAAGGCGCUUGAGAGAACUCGGGUGAAGGAACUAGGCAAAAUGGUGCCGUAACUUCGGGAGAAGGCACGCUGACACGUAGGUGAAGUGAUUUACUCAUGGAGCUGAAGUCAGUCGAAGAUACCAGCUGGCUGCAACUGUUUAUUAAAAACACAGCACUGUGCAAACACGAAAGUGGACGUAUACGGUGUGACGCCUGCCCGGUGCCGGAAGGUUAAUUGAUGGGGUCAGCGCAAGCGAAGCUCCUGAUCGAAGCCCCGGUAAACGGCGGCCGUAACUAUAACGGUCCUAAGGUAGCGAAAUUCCUUGUCGGGUAAGUUCCGACCUGCACGAAUGGCGUAAUGAUGGCCAGGCUGUCUCCACCCGAGACUCAGUGAAAUUGAACUCGCUGUGAAGAUGCAGUGUACCCGCGGCAAGACGGAAAGACCCCGUGAACCUUUACUAUAGCUUGACACUGAACAUUGAGCCUUGAUGUGUAGGAUAGGUGGGAGGCUUUGAAGCGUGGACGCCAGUCUGCGUGGAGCCGACCUUGAAAUACCACCCUUUAAUGUUUGAUGUUCUAACGUGGACCCGUAAUCCGGGUUGCGGACAGUGUCUGGUGGGUAGUUUGACUGGGGCGGUCUCCUCCUAAAGAGUAACGGAGGAGCACGAAGGUUGGCUAAUCCUGGUCGGACAUCAGGAGGUUAGUGCAAUGGCAUAAGCCAGCUUGACUGCGAGCGUGACGGCGCGAGCAGGUGCGAAAGCAGGUCAUAGUGAUCCGGUGGUUCUGAAUGGAAGGGCCAUCGCUCAACGGAUAAAAGGUACUCCGGGGAUAACAGGCUGAUACCGCCCAAGAGUUCAUAUCGACGGCGGUGUUUGGCACCUCGAUGUCGGCUCAUCACAUCCUGGGGCUGAAGUAGGUCCCAAGGGUAUGGCUGUUCGCCAUUUAAAGUGGUACGCGAGCUGGGUUUAGAACGUCGUGAGACAGUUCGGUCCCUAUCUGCCGUGGGCGCUGGAGAACUGAGGGGGGCUGCUCCUAGUACGAGAGGACCGGAGUGGACGCAUCACUGGUGUUCGGGUUGUCAUGCCAAUGGCACUGCCCGGUAGCUAAAUGCGGAAGAGAUAAGUGCUGAAAGCAUCUAAGCACGAAACUUGCCCCGAGAUGAGUUCUCCCUGAGACUUAGAGUCUCCUGAAGGAACGUUGAAGACGACGACGUUGAUAGGCCGGGUGUGUAAGCGCAGCGAUGCGUUGAGCUAACCGGUACUAAUGAACCGUGAGGCUUAACCUUACAACGCCGAAG